AGCCCGUUAAUGGGUGAUGGCGUGCCUUUUGUAGAAUGAACCGGCGAGUUACGAUUUGAUGCAAGGUUAAGCAGUAAAUGUGGAGCCGUAGCGAAAGCGAGUCUGAAUAGGGCGUUUAGUAUUUGGUCGUAGACCCGAAACCAGGUGAUCUACCCUUGGUCAGGUUGAAGUUCAGGUAACACUGAAUGGAGGACCGAACCGACUUACGUUGAAAAGUGAGCGGAUGAACUGAGGGUAGCGGAGAAAUUCCAAUCGAACCUGGAGAUAGCUGGUUCUCUCCGAAAUAGCUUUAGGGCUAGCCUCAAGUGAUGAUUAUUGGAGGUAGAGCACUGUUUGGACGAGGGGCCCCUCUCGGGUUACCGAAUUCAGACAAACUCCGAAUGCCAAUUAAUUUAACUUGGGAGUCAGAACAUGGGUGAUAAGGUCCGUGUUCGAAAGGGAAACAGCCCAGACCACCAGCUAAGGUCCCAAAAUAUAUGUUAAGUGGAAAAGGAUGUGGCGUUGCCCAGACAACUAGGAUGUUGGCUUAGAAGCAGCCAUCAUUUAAAGAGUGCGUAAUAGCUCACUAGUCGAGUGACACUGCGCCGAAAAUGUACCGGGGCUAAACAUAUUACCGAAGCUGUGGAUUGUCCUUUGGACAAUGGUAGGAGAGCGUUCUAAGGGCGUUGAAGCAUGAUCGUAAGGACAUGUGGAGCGCUUAGAAGUGAGAAUGCCGGUGUGAGUAGCGAAAGACGGGUGAGAAUCCCGUCCACCGAUUGACUAAGGUUUCCAGAGGAAGGCUCGUCCGCUCUGGGUUAGUCGGGUCCUAAGCUGAGGCCGACAGGCGUAGGCGAUGGAUAACAGGUUGAUAUUCCUGUACCACCUAUAAUCGUUUUAAUCGAUGGGGGGACGCAGUAGGAUAGGCGAAGCGUGCGAUUGGAUUGCACGUCUAAGCAGUAAGGCUGAGUAUUAGGCAAAUCCGGUACUCGUUAAGGCUGAGC
RNAcentral lists this ribosomal RNA (980 nucleotides) under Staphylococcus aureus. Its description in RNAcentral is "partial 23S ribosomal RNA". It matches the Rfam family "Bacterial large subunit ribosomal RNA", at positions 578 to 1561 of the family's 2925-position model. The record is from RNAcentral. Lineage: Bacteria; Bacillati; Bacillota; Bacilli; Caryophanales; Staphylococcaceae.